This is a long non-coding RNA of Triticum dicoccoides, 834 nucleotides long. RefSeq lists it as uncharacterized. The transcript has 5 exons. The record is from RefSeq and is a predicted model, not a curated record. NCBI's taxonomy places the organism in Eukaryota, Viridiplantae, Streptophyta, Magnoliopsida, Poales, Poaceae.
UCUACUCCUAAUGGAGCAGCAGAUCGGUCUCCGUCGCCAACCAGACCUUCGCACGCCCGAUCCAGCCCUACGCCCCCUCCGCGGCCGAUCCAUCCCCGUGCCGCGGCCGAUCCAUGCCCUAUGCCGCCGCCGAUGCCUCCUCCUCCACCUCCAUUCCCAAGCGAGGGCGCCCGCGGCCGCGGUCUUCUCCCCCAGCCACCAUGGCUGCAGAUCCACUCACGGCCGGUCGUCUAAGCUGCAAGCAUGGAUGGAUGGAUCCAGGAAGGUAUCCUUCCUCCCUGGGUGGAGCGAGCUGCACAUCCCAUUCGGCCCUCUGUAGCCGGCCAUCUCCGCCUCCUCCUCGCCGUCGCCGCCGCCGGGGAUCGCGUCUUCACCAAGCGCGAGCUCCGCCCCGUCCGACCGACCGCAAAGGGGUUGUCCAUUGUAAAUUUUCAAGGAGAUUCAAAUGUUCCUCUUCUGGAUGAUUGAAGGGAUACUUGAAGCUAGGGCAAUCCAAGUAAGAUAGCUUCAUCCUCAGGCAACAGGUUUAUGUUAUCUUAUCAUGGAGUCAUUUUUAAGUUUGUGCCCAACGCCUUCAUCCUUAGAAUGGCUGCCCAGAUGGCAAGCCACCGUACUCAGGCGACUGCCGCGCUAGCAGGGUGCUCCAACUUUUGAUGCUGGCGAAGCUUUUGGAAUGAUGGCUACAUAAUUUGUUAGUCUCCGUUGGAAGCUUAAUUAAACUGAGGUUCAGAUGUGUGGCAAAGGAUUUCAAUUUUCCUGUUUACACAAAGGAAACUUGAGGAAGGUUCAUAUUUCUCAUGCUCGGUGCUGUGCUCUCAAGGUUACAUAGACAAA